CCUUCGUUAUCAACUCUUCCUAUAAUUGUCAAGCAAAAUUCACUAAGUGUUGGAUUGUUCAUCCACCAAUAAGGAACAUGAGUUAGGUUUAAACCAUUAUAAAACAUGUU
Molecule: non-coding RNA, 110 nt
Filed under: Selaginella moellendorffii
Lineage: Eukaryota; Viridiplantae; Streptophyta; Lycopodiopsida; Selaginellales; Selaginellaceae
Description: rRNA LSU_rRNA_eukarya
Rfam family: Eukaryotic large subunit ribosomal RNA
Source: Rfam by way of RNAcentral